CCACUACAACUACAGCACCAACCACAACCACAACUGCAGCACCAACCACUACAACUACAGCUACCACUACAACUGCAGCACAAAGCACUACAACCCCUAGAGAAGGGUUAACCACCAUUCAAAUUCCAACAGGCCCACAAGCACUUGCACAUCUAAAGAUUAGGAUGACUACAUACGGACAGGUUAGCAAUGCAACCAUCAUUGCCCUUCUUGAACAGUUUCUUAACACCCAGGUCCUGAAUGGAAUACCCCACAUUCUCUCUGUGACAAACAUUAAAAAAGUUGGAGCAUAAAAAUUGAAUGUGGACAGAAGUCAAAAAUGAAAAUAUGAAGACAAGAGUUUAACAGUGGGUUAGUAGAUUUGUUUCAACAUGAUCCGGAGCGGCAGUUUGCCUCAGUCGGUUCAUCAUAUCCUGAAUGAUGAGUACACUGGUGUGAGAAGGAGACAUCAGCUGUGCUGCAGUGGUCGACAACCAGAUGGACUUGGAUUGCUCUGUGAAUGUAUGAAACCUAAACCUGGGUGAAAGCAGAUUAGAUUUAAAUAUCAAUCCCCUUACAUGAUCAUUUGUGAAAUUAAAUCAAACUGCAGAAACACAAUGCUGUAGUUCCCAUGAAUUAGAAAUGCGCUUUUGGUUUAUCAUCUUGCAAACUACAAUAGGCAUCUCAAA
Molecule: long non-coding RNA, 668 nt
Organism: Oreochromis niloticus (Nile tilapia)
Lineage: Eukaryota; Metazoa; Chordata; Actinopteri; Cichliformes; Cichlidae
Exons: 3
Source: RefSeq, a predicted model, not a curated record